This 345-nucleotide unclassified non-coding RNA is filed under the name soil metagenome. RNAcentral describes it as "partial contains 5.8S ribosomal RNA, internal transcribed spacer 2, and large subunit ribosomal RNA". The stretch from base 1 to 120 matches the Rfam family "5.8S ribosomal RNA", at positions 35 to 154 of the family's 154-position model. The record is from RNAcentral.
GAUGAAGAACGCAGCGAAAUGCGAUACGUAAUGUGAGUUGCAGAAUUCAGUGAAUCAUCGAGUCUUUGAACGCACAUUGCGCCCCCUGGUAUUCCGGGGGGCAUGCCUGUCCGAGCGUCAUUGCUGCCCUCAAGCACGGCUUGUGUGUUGGGCCUCCGUCCUCCUCCCGGGGGACGGGCCCGAAAGGCAGCGGCGGCACCGCGUCCGGUCCUCGAGCGUAUGGGGCUUCGUCACCCGCUCUUGUAGGCCCGGCCGGCGCUUGCCGACACAUCAAUCUUUUUUCCAGGUUGACCUCGGAUCAGGUAGGGAUACCCGCUGAACUUAAGCAUAUCAAUAAGCGGAGGA